Molecule: unclassified non-coding RNA, 292 nt
Filed under: uncultured fungus
Lineage: Eukaryota; Fungi
Description: sequence contains ITS2
Rfam family: 5.8S ribosomal RNA (bases 1-52)
Source: RNAcentral
AACGCACCUUGCGCCCUUUGGUAUUCCGAAGGGCAUGCCUGUUUGAGUGUCUUUAAAUUCUCAACCUUGGAAAGCUUUUGUUUUCCAUGGCUUGGAUGUGGAGGUUGCGGGCUUUCUAAGUCGGCUCCUCUGAAAUGCAUUAGCUGGGUUUGCGCCUUCAGCCUAUUGGUGUGAUAAUUAUCUACGCCUCUUGGUUGUUAGCGUGUUUUACUUUCCAGCUUCAAAUCGUCCUUCAUUGGACAAUAUUUGACUAUUUGACCUCAAAUCAGGUAGGACUACCCGCUGAACUUAA